This 636-nucleotide ribosomal RNA is filed under the name uncultured Propionibacterium sp. Its description in RNAcentral is "bacterial SSU rRNA". It matches the Rfam family "Bacterial small subunit ribosomal RNA", at positions 71 to 720 of the family's 1533-position model. Lineage: Bacteria; Bacillati; Actinomycetota; Actinomycetes; Propionibacteriales; Propionibacteriaceae. The record is from RNAcentral.
GGCCCUGCUUUUGUGGGGUGCUCGAGUGGCGAACGGGUGAGUAACACGUGAGUAACCUGCCCUUGACUUUGGGAUAACUUCAGGAAACUGGGGCUAAUACCGGAUAGGAGCUCCUGCUGCAUGGUGGGGGUUGGAAAGUUUCGGCGGUUGGGGAUGGACUCGCGGCUUAUCAGCUUGUUGGUGGGGUAGUGGCUUACCAAGGCUUUGACGGGUAGCCGGCCUGAGAGGGUGACCGGCCACAUUGGGACUGAGAUACGGCCCAGACUCCUACGGGAGGCAGCAGUGGGGAAUAUUGCACAAUGGGCGGAAGCCUGAUGCAGCAACGCCGCGUGCGGGAUGACGGCCUUCGGGUUGUAAACCGCUUUCGCCUGUGACGAAGCGUGAGUGACGGUAAUGGGUAAAGAAGCACCGGCUAACUACGUGCCAGCAGCCGCGGUGAUACGUAGGGUGCGAGCGUUGUCCGGAUUUAUUGGGCGUAAAGGGCUCGUAGGUGGUUGAUCGCGUCGGAAGUGUAAUCUUGGGGCUUAACCCUGAGCGUGCUUUCGAUACGGGUUGACUUGAGGGAGGUAGGGGAGAAUGGAAUUCCUGGUGGAGCGGUGGAAUGCGCAGAUAUCAGGAGGAACACCAGUGGCGAAG